Herpailurus yagouaroundi (jaguarundi) is the source of this 813-nucleotide long non-coding RNA. RefSeq lists it as uncharacterized. The record is from RefSeq and is a predicted model, not a curated record. The transcript has 3 exons. NCBI's taxonomy places the organism in Eukaryota, Metazoa, Chordata, Mammalia, Carnivora, Felidae.
UUGCAGAUGGAACUGUUUUCUUCAGUUCUUGCAUUUGGGAAUUUUAAAGCGCCGUUUGGACCACUUUGACUUGCAAACAUUCCAGGUAUGUAACCAAACCAACGUGAGUGCGAUCCUCGACCAGUCACAGAAACUGCACCAGGGUCCUUUCUCAGGGUCAAGAUUUGGGUCAAUCACAUCUUUGCAAUUAAAAAAGUCAAAUACCAGAGUGACUUGUGAUCAUCAGCAAGAAACAAACAAUGUCUGUGCAUUAGAGAAACUUGUAAGCACCUGAUUAAAGAAGAUAUCAGGUCAACCACACCGGUGGGAUGAACCUCUUCCUCUGACACAACCUCACCUGUUAACUGGAGCUAUUCAGGAAGAAAGAGGCAAAUGCAAAUUGUGGGAUGCUCCUGAGAAGCAACUGGCCAGGCUGUUUCAGCAAUGCCAAUGUCUUACGAGGAAAAAAAAAAAAGAUGAGACAAAUUAAAAUUCAAGGAAAAGGAGAUUAAAGAAGGAUAAAGAGGCAUGAAGCUAAAUGCCAUUCAUGAUCCUUCGGGCCUCUACCAGGGCAGCUAGCUUGAGCAUCCUCACAACAUGGCAGCUGUCUUCUCCCAGAGCCAGUGAUUCAAGAGAGUGAAAGGCAGAAGCACUAGUAUCUUUUAUGACCUGGUCCUGGAAGUCACAUACUAUCAUUUCCACAUUAUCCUAUUGGUUACACAGGACAACGUAUGCGGAGGAUAUUAUUAUCCCUGCUUGAUGAUUGAGAAAAUGGGAGUCACAGAGAGGGCUAGCAACUUUCGCAAUGUCACACAGCUAGGGAGUAGUAGAGGU